CUGCAUACCAAUAACAUUUAAAACUGUU
Molecule: small RNA, 28 nt
Filed under: Bombyx mori (domestic silkworm)
Lineage: Eukaryota; Metazoa; Arthropoda; Insecta; Lepidoptera; Bombycidae
Description: ovarian small RNA-14897
Source: RNAcentral